GGGCGGUUAGCUCAGCGGGAGAGCAUUCGCUUCACACGCGAAGGGUCACUGGUUCGAUCCCAGUACUGCCCACCA
This 75-nucleotide transfer RNA is filed under the name Oxalobacteraceae bacterium. RNAcentral's name for it is "tRNA-Val". It matches the Rfam family "tRNA". From Rfam's summary of the family: Transfer RNA (tRNA) molecules are approximately 80 nucleotides in length. Their secondary structure includes four short double-helical elements and three loops (D, anti-codon, and T loops). Further hydrogen bonds mediate the characteristic L-shaped molecular structure. tRNAs have two regions of fundamental functional importance: the anti-codon, which is responsible for specific mRNA codon recognition, and the 3' end, to which the tRNAs corresponding amino acid is attached (by aminoacyl-tRNA synthetases). tRNAs cope with the degeneracy of the genetic code in two manners: having more than one tRNA (with a specific anti-codon) for a particular amino acid; and 'wobble' base-pairing, i.e. permitting non-standard base-pairing at the 3rd anti-codon position. The record is from RNAcentral. Lineage: Bacteria; Pseudomonadati; Pseudomonadota; Betaproteobacteria; Burkholderiales; Oxalobacteraceae.